RNAcentral lists this ribosomal RNA (466 nucleotides) under uncultured bacterium. RNAcentral describes it as "bacterial SSU rRNA". It matches the Rfam family "Bacterial small subunit ribosomal RNA", at positions 339 to 797 of the family's 1533-position model. The record is from RNAcentral.
CUACGGGAGGCAGCAGUGGGGAAUAUUGGACAAUGGGGGCAACCCUGAUCCAGCGACGCCGCGUGUGUGAAGAAGGCCUGCGGGUUGUAAAGCACUUUUAGUGGGGAUGAAAAGCCAAGGGCUAAUACCCUUUGGUCUUGACCUAACCCAAAGAAAAAGCACCGGCUAACUCUGUGCCAGCAGCCGCGGUAAUACAGAGGGUGCAAGCGUUAAUCGGAAUUACUGGGCGUAAAGCGUGCGUAGUCGGUUAUCUAAGUCGGAUGUGAAAUCCCCGGGCUCAACCUGGGAAUUGCAUUCGAUACUGGAUAGCUAGAGUUCGGCAGAGGGAAGCGGAAUUUCGGGUGUAGCGGUGAAAUGCGUAGAUAUCCGAAGGAACAUCAGUGGCGAAAGCGGCUUCCUGGACCGGAACUGACGAUCAGGCACGAAAGCGUGGGGAGCAAACAGGAUUAGAUACCCUGGUAGUCCC